Molecule: ribosomal RNA, 557 nt
Filed under: uncultured bacterium
Lineage: Bacteria
Description: bacterial SSU rRNA
Rfam family: Bacterial small subunit ribosomal RNA
Source: RNAcentral
ACGGGUGAGUAACGCGUGGGAAUCUACCCAACUCUACGGAAUAACCCAGGGAAACUUGGACUAAUACCGUAUACGUCCUCCGGGAGAAAGAUUUAUCGGAGUUGGAUGAGCCCGCGUUGGAUUAGCUAGUUGGUGGGGUAAUGGCCUACCAAGGCGACGAUCCAUAGCUGGUCUGAGAGGAUGAUCAGCCACAUUGGGACUGAGACACGGCCCAAACUCCUACGGGAGGCAGCAGUGGGGAAUAUUGGACAAUGGGCGAAAGCCUGAUCCAGCCAUGCCGCGUGAGUGAUGAAGGCCCUAGGGUUGUAAAGCUCUUUCAACGGUGAAGAUAAUGACGGUAACCGUAGAAGAAGCCCCGGCUAACUUCGUGCCAGCAGCCGCGGUAAUACGAAGGGGGCUAGCGUUGUUCGGAAUUACUGGGCGUAAAGCGCACGUAGGCGGACAUUUAAGUCAGGGGUGAAAUCCCGGGGCUCAACCCCGGAACUGCCUUUGAUACUGGGUGUCUAGAGUCCGGAAGAGGUGAGUGGAAUUCCGAGUGUAGAGGUGAAAUUCGUAGA